Molecule: transfer RNA, 72 nt
Filed under: Thermoflexus sp.
Lineage: Bacteria; Bacillati; Chloroflexota; Thermoflexia; Thermoflexales; Thermoflexaceae
Also listed under: 2 other names
Description: tRNA-Cys
Rfam family: tRNA
About the family: Transfer RNA (tRNA) molecules are approximately 80 nucleotides in length.
Source: RNAcentral
GGCGGCGUAGCCGAGUGGCUCAGGCAGGGGUCUGCAAAACCCCGGACGUGGGUUCGAUUCCCACCGCCGCCU